Small nuclear RNA from Nycticebus coucang (slow loris), 106 nucleotides. NCBI's taxonomy places the organism in Eukaryota, Metazoa, Chordata, Mammalia, Primates, Lorisidae. The record is from RefSeq and is a predicted model, not a curated record.
GUGUUCAGUUGGACAACACAUAUGCUUAAAAUGGAAUGGUACAUGGAAAACCUGCAUGACCUCUGCAUAAGAAUGGCACGAAAUUAGUGAAGUAUUCUAUAUUUUU